Molecule: ribosomal RNA, 421 nt
Filed under: uncultured bacterium
Lineage: Bacteria
Description: bacterial SSU rRNA
Rfam family: Bacterial small subunit ribosomal RNA
Source: RNAcentral
UAAGGAAUAUUGGUCAAUGGACGCAAGUCUGAACCAGCCAUGCCGCGUGAAGGAUGAAGGUCCUCUGGAUUGUAAACUUCUUUUAUCUGGGACGAAAACGGGAUUUUUAUCUCAAUUGACGGUACCAGAGGAAUAAGCACCGGCUAACUCCGUGCCAGCAGCCGCGGUAAUACGGAGGGUGCAAGCGUUAUCCGGAUUCACUGGGUUUAAAGGGUGCGUAGGUGGGUAUGUAAGUCAGUGGUGAAAUCCCCGAGCUUAACUUGGAAACUGCCGUUGAUACUAUAGGUCUUGAAUUAUCUGGAGGUGAGCGGAAUAUGUCAUGUAGCGGUGAAAUGCUUAGAUAUGACAUAGAACACCAAUUGCGAAGGCAGCUUACUACAUAUAAAUUGACGCUGAGGCACGAAAGCGUGGGGAUCAAACA